Molecule: ribosomal RNA, 390 nt
Filed under: uncultured bacterium
Lineage: Bacteria
Description: bacterial SSU rRNA
Rfam family: Bacterial small subunit ribosomal RNA
Source: RNAcentral
GACGAACGCUGGCGGCGUGCUUAACACAUGCAAGUCGAGCGGUAAGGCCCUUUCGGGGGUACGACGAGCGGCGAACGGGUGAGUAACACGUGGGUGACCUGCCCUCAGCUCUGGGAUAAGCCUGGGAAACCGGGUCUAAUACUGGAUAUGACUCCAUGACGCAUGUUGUGGGGUGGAAAGCCUUGUGCGGCUGGGGAGUGGGCCCGCGGCCUAUCAGCUUGUUGGUGGGGUGAUGGCCUACCAAGGCGACGACGGGUAGCCGGCCUGAGAGGGCGACCGGCCACACUGGGACUGAGACACGGCCCAGACUCCUACGGGAGGCAGCAGUGGGGAAUCUUGCGCAAUGGGCGAAAGCCUGACGCAGCGACGCCGCGUGAGGGAUGACGGCCU